Molecule: ribosomal RNA, 262 nt
Filed under: uncultured archaeon
Lineage: Archaea
Description: partial 16S ribosomal RNA
Rfam family: Archaeal small subunit ribosomal RNA
Source: RNAcentral
CAGCCGUAAACAAUGUGCGUUAGGUGUGUCGGUAACCACGUGUUACUGAUGCGCCGAAGAGAAAUCGUGAAACGCACCACCUGGGAAGUACGGUCGCAAGGCUGAAACUUAAAGGAAUUGGCGGGGGAGCACCACAACAGGUGGAGCCUGCGGUUUAAUUGGAUUCAACGCCGGACAUCUCACCGGAUAAGACAGCUGAAUGAUUGUCAAUCUGAAGGUUUUACAUGACUAGCUGAGAGGAGGUGCAUGGCGUCAGUGACCU